AGUGAACGCUGGCGGUAGGCCUAACACAUGCGAGUCGAACGGCAGCACAGUAAGAGCUUGCUCUUGCGGGUGGCGGGUGGCGGGCGGGUUAGGAAUACACCGGACUCUACUUUUUGGUUGGGGCGAAGGAAGGCGGAUUAAUGCUACAACCGAAUCCGGCCUAAGGGUGAAAGCAGGGGGGCUUCGGACCUUGCGGGUUUGCCUGAGGCGAUGUCGGAUUAGCUAGUUGGUGGGGUAAAGGCCCACCAAGGCGACGAUCCGUAGCUGGUCUGAGAGGAUGACCAGCCACACUGGGACUGAGACACGGCCCAGACUCCUACGGGAGGCAGCAGUGGGGAAUUUUGGACAAUGGGCGAAAGCCUGAUCCAGCAAUGCCGCGUGGGUGAAGAAGGCCUUCGGGUUGUAAAGCACUUUUGUCCGGAAAGAAAACCAGGACGCUAAUACAGUCGGGUGAUGACGGUACCGGAAGAAUAAGCACCGGCUAACUACGUG
This 492-nucleotide ribosomal RNA is filed under the name uncultured bacterium. RNAcentral describes it as "partial 16S ribosomal RNA". It matches the Rfam family "Bacterial small subunit ribosomal RNA", at positions 30 to 507 of the family's 1533-position model. The record is from RNAcentral.